GGGGCUGUAGCUCAGCUGGGAGAGCGGUGCGUUCGCAACGCACAGGUCAGGGGUUCGAGCCCCCUCAGCUCCACCA
This 76-nucleotide transfer RNA is filed under the name bacterium. RNAcentral describes it as "tRNA-Ala". It matches the Rfam family "tRNA". From Rfam's summary of the family: Transfer RNA (tRNA) molecules are approximately 80 nucleotides in length. Their secondary structure includes four short double-helical elements and three loops (D, anti-codon, and T loops). Further hydrogen bonds mediate the characteristic L-shaped molecular structure. tRNAs have two regions of fundamental functional importance: the anti-codon, which is responsible for specific mRNA codon recognition, and the 3' end, to which the tRNAs corresponding amino acid is attached (by aminoacyl-tRNA synthetases). tRNAs cope with the degeneracy of the genetic code in two manners: having more than one tRNA (with a specific anti-codon) for a particular amino acid; and 'wobble' base-pairing, i.e. permitting non-standard base-pairing at the 3rd anti-codon position. RNAcentral also lists the same sequence under 1 other name. The record is from RNAcentral.